AGAGUUUGAUCCUGGCUCAGGAUGAACGCUAGCGACAGGCCUAACACAUGCAAGUCGAGGGGUAACAGGGGAGCUUGCUUCCGCUGACGACCGGCGCACGGGUGAGUAACGCGUAUGCAACCUGCCUAUUACAGGGGGAUAGCCCGGAGAAAUCCGGAUUAAUACCCCAUAGUCAUUAUAGUCCGCAUGGAUUUAAAUGUAAAGAAUUUCGGUAAUAGAUGGGCAUGCGUAAGAUUAGUUAGUUGGUGAGGUAACGGCUCACCAAGACCACGAUCUUUAGGGGUUCUGAGAGGAAGGUCCCCCACACUGGUACUGAGACACGGACCAGACUCCUACGGGAGGCAGCAGUGAGGAAUAUUGGGCAAUGGAGGCAACUCUGACCCAGCCAUGUCGCGUGCAGGAAGACUGCCCUAUGGGUUGUAACUGCUUUUAUAUAGGAAUAGCUAUGCGAUUCGUUCGCAAAAUGAAUGUACUAUAUGAAUAAGGAUCGGCUAACUCCGUGCCAGCAGCCGCGGUAAUACGGAGGAUUCGAGCGUUAUCCGGAUUUAUUGGGUUUAAAGGGUGCGUAGGCGGGCCUUUAAGUCAGUGGUGAAAUCCUGCAGCUCAACUGUAGAAUUGCCAUUGAAACUGAAGGUCUUGAAUAUGGACGAGGUAGGCGGAAUGAGUUACGUAGCGGUGAAAUGCAUAGAUAUAACUCAGAACACCGAUUGCGUAGGCAGCUUACCAGACCAUUAUUGACGCUGAGGCACGAAAGCGUGGGUAGCGAACAGGAUUAGAUACCCUGGUAGUCCACGCCGUAAACGAUGUUCACUCGCUGCUAGCGAUACACAGUUAGUGGCUAAGCGAAAGUGAUAAGUGAACCACCUGGGGAGUACGUCGGCAACGAUGAAACUCAAAGGAAUUGACGGGGGCCCGCACAAGCGGUGGAACAUGUGGUUUAAUUCGAUGAUACGCGAGGAACCUUACCUGGACUUAAAUGUAGAUUGCAUAGCUUAGAAAUAGGCUUUUCUUCGGACUAUCUACAAGGUGCUGCAUGGUUGUCGUCAGCUCGUGCCGUGAGGUGUCGGGUUAAGUCCCAUAACGAGCGCAACCCCUAUCGUUAGUUGCUAACAGGUCAAGCUGAGGACUCUGACGAGACUGCCGGUGUAAACCGCGAGGAAGGUGGGGAUGACGUCAAAUCAGCACGGCCCUUACGUCCAGGGCUACACACGUGUUACAAUGGCCGAUACAGAGGGCAGCUACUUGGCAACAAGAUGCGAAUCUCGAAAAUCGGUCUCAGUUCGGAUCGGAGCCUGCAACUCGACUCCGUGAAGUUGGAAUCGCUAGUAAUCGCGUAUCAGCAACGACGCGGUGAAUACGUUCCCGGGCCUUGUACACACCGCCCGUCAAGCCAUGGAAGCUGGGGGUACCUAAAGUGCGUAACCGUAAGGAGCGUCCUAGGGUAAAACUAGUGACUGGGGCUAAGUCGUAACAAGGUA
Molecule: ribosomal RNA, 1478 nt
Filed under: metagenome
Description: bacterial SSU rRNA
Rfam family: Bacterial small subunit ribosomal RNA
Source: RNAcentral